This is a long non-coding RNA of Hippopotamus amphibius kiboko, 410 nucleotides long. RefSeq lists it as uncharacterized. Lineage: Eukaryota; Metazoa; Chordata; Mammalia; Artiodactyla; Hippopotamidae. The transcript is spliced from 3 exons. The record is from RefSeq and is a predicted model, not a curated record.
GCAGGUCAAAGGAGAUGGAAUCUAACAUUUAGGAGGAAGGGUUGGCCUUUUUUGGGAGCAACAACAUCUCACCUUUUGUGAAAGAAAGAAGGCACAAUGUGUGGACAGGUGCAGUGUUGAACCAGAGUGCUAAGACCAGAAGAAACCAACAACUACUGCAUAGGUCUUGGCAAAAUCUGUGGAGUUACCAGGGUUGUCUUCUGUGAUGGUUGCUGAGGAAUCCAACUUUGAAACACCCAGCACAAUGUGCAGAUGGGCCAAUAGCUCUGGAAUGGCCAACUGGAAAAUGGUUCCCCCAAGAAACUAAAUAAUACCAGAACCAUUAAAGUAUUUCUCAGACUUCCCUGAAUAUUCAGUUUAGCUGAAUUACACAGGGAUCUUUAAAGUCUUAGCAUUGGUUUUUGUUUGUU